GAGAUGCCUGUUGUCGACUAAAGUCUUUAUAACAAGUGGCUUUUCCACUCUGAUGGGGUGUUACGAUAGCUUAAUUCCAUGCUACACUGAUGCUUUAUCUGUUCCUUUCUGAAAGAGUAUAAAGGGGCUAGAUUGCUGCUGCUGAGGCGCUGUGCAGUGAAGAUAGCAUCAUCUCCAUUUCCUAGUAGUGCACAAGGGAACAGCAUGCCAACAAUCUGAUUCAGAAACCUGCUCGAGAGGAAGAGCCAAGCUUAUUUGUACAACUUCCUGACUAGGAGAUGGAACUCUUCAGUGUGUUACAGUUCUCAGCUCUCUCUCCCAGACUCAACUGCAAAGAAUUAAUUGGAAGCUAACUUUAUUACUUCAUGGAUCUUGCUGUGCAGCCAAAAACAUUUAGAAACCUGAAACUAUCUCCCUAUGAAAUGUGAAGUUGCUGCAUGAAGCAAUUUGGUCUAAUUAAAAAAUAUUUCCAA
Long non-coding RNA from Emys orbicularis (European pond turtle), 473 nucleotides. RefSeq lists it as uncharacterized. Lineage: Eukaryota; Metazoa; Chordata; Testudines; Emydidae. The record is from RefSeq and is a predicted model, not a curated record. The transcript is spliced from 2 exons.